CAUAUAGCUCAGUCGGUAGAGCACUUCCUUGGUAAGGAAGAGGUCACCGGUUCAAAUCCGGUUAUGG
This 67-nucleotide transfer RNA is filed under the name zebrafish metagenome. It matches the Rfam family "tRNA". Rfam says of the family: Transfer RNA (tRNA) molecules are approximately 80 nucleotides in length. Their secondary structure includes four short double-helical elements and three loops (D, anti-codon, and T loops). The record is from RNAcentral. RNAcentral also lists the same sequence under 1 other name.